UACGUAGGUGGCAAGCGUUAUCCGGAAUUAUUGGGCGUAAAGAGCGCGCAGGUGGUUAAUUAAGUCUGAUGUGAAAGCCCGCGGCUUAACCGUGGAGGGUCAUUGGAAACUGGUUGACUUGAGUGCAGAAGAGGGAAGUGGAAUUCCAUGUGUAGCGGUGAAAUGCGUAGAGAUAUGGAGGAACACCGGUGGCGAAAGCGGCUCUCUGGCCUGUAACUGACACUGAGGCUCGAAAGCGUGGGGAGCAAACAGG
RNAcentral lists this ribosomal RNA (253 nucleotides) under uncultured bacterium. Its description in RNAcentral is "partial 16S ribosomal RNA". It matches the Rfam family "Bacterial small subunit ribosomal RNA", at positions 524 to 776 of the family's 1533-position model. The record is from RNAcentral.